CUACUUUGCUGUCUUUUUAAUAUGAACUGGUAACCUGACUCUGGCUAGGCUAAAGAAGAUGAAUUCAGAGGAGAAGGCACUGUGGCAUUCUGUCACUGUUGGCUUUUCGAGGGUUUUAGGGGACCUGAGUGGAUGUAAGCUUGUUGCUGUGGGUUCCAGCUGAGGAUCACGCUGUUGGAAAUGCCCGCAGUGUCUACUGACACAUCACACCCAGGCCAUCCUCGUGG
Molecule: long non-coding RNA, 227 nt
Filed under: Bos taurus (domestic cattle)
Lineage: Eukaryota; Metazoa; Chordata; Mammalia; Artiodactyla; Bovidae
Description: long non-coding RNA NONBTAT026025
Source: RNAcentral